CCAAAAUCACACAUCUUCUCUUCGAAAAUCCACCAUUUAACCAGAAUGUUGUGCAGUUUCUCUUGGAAAUACCCCAUUUAACCUCCAAAUCAUGCAUUUUCUCCCGGAAAAUCCCCCAUUUACCCCCAAAUCAUGCAUUUUCUCUUCCAGAAUACCCCCUUAACCCUAAAAUCACGCAUUUUCUCUUGGAAAAUCCACCAUUUCAGGAAAUCCUCCAUGUAACCCAAAAAUGAUGCAUUU
Molecule: long non-coding RNA, 240 nt
Filed under: Gallus gallus (chicken)
Lineage: Eukaryota; Metazoa; Chordata; Aves; Galliformes; Phasianidae
Source: RNAcentral